This 240-nucleotide unclassified non-coding RNA is filed under the name soil metagenome. RNAcentral's name for it is "partial contains 5.8S ribosomal RNA, internal transcribed spacer 2, and large subunit ribosomal RNA". The record is from RNAcentral.
AACAUCGCGCACCUGCGGGAACCUGCGGAAGGAUCAUUAACCGUUACAAACAGUGUGUGCUGCGGCCCCCGAGGUGAGGCAACGAGCCUUCGGGAGGUCUGGGGUCCGCCCCUUCACGCGCACGCGUCUGCCAUCCUUACUUUACGAGCACCUUCUGUUCUCCCUCGGCAUGCGUCCUGCGCUGCCGUUGGAAUUACAAAACUCUUUUUUGCAUCUAGCAUUACCUGUUCCGACAAUAAC